RNAcentral lists this ribosomal RNA (411 nucleotides) under uncultured bacterium. RNAcentral describes it as "bacterial SSU rRNA". It matches the Rfam family "Bacterial small subunit ribosomal RNA", at positions 30 to 441 of the family's 1533-position model. The record is from RNAcentral.
AUUGAACGCUGGCGGCAGGCCUAACACAUGCAAGUCGAGCGGAUGAGAAGAGCUUGCUCUUCGAUUCAGCGGCGGACGGGUGAGUAAUGCCUAGGAAUCUGCCUGGUAGUGGGGGACAACGUUUCGAAAGGAACGCUAAUACCGCAUACGUCCUACGGGAGAAAGCAGGGGACCUUCGGGCCUUGCGCUAUCAGAUGAGCCUAGGUCGGAUUAGCUAGUUGGUGAGGUAAUGGCUCACCAAGGCGACGAUCCGUAACUGGUCUGAGAGGAUGAUCAGUCACACUGGAACUGAGACACGGUCCAGACUCCUACGGGAGGCAGCAGUGGGGAAUAUUGGACAAUGGGCGAAAGCCUGAUCCAGCCAUGCCGCGUGUGUGAAGAAGGUCUUCGGAUUGUAAAGCACUUUAAGUU